RNAcentral lists this small RNA (112 nucleotides) under Escherichia coli. RNAcentral describes it as "partial RtT sRNA". It matches the Rfam family "RtT RNA", at positions 1 to 110 of the family's 130-position model. From Rfam's summary of the family: This family represents a bacterial cis-regulatory element known as RtT RNA. The record is from RNAcentral. Lineage: Bacteria; Pseudomonadati; Pseudomonadota; Gammaproteobacteria; Enterobacterales; Enterobacteriaceae.
AUUCUGCCCAAGCGGGGAAGGAUGAGAAGCUUCGACCAAGGUUCGACUCGAGCGCCAGCGAGAGAGCGUUGCCGCAGGCAACGACCCGAAGGGCGAAGCGCGCAGCGCUGAG